This 377-nucleotide ribosomal RNA is filed under the name uncultured bacterium. RNAcentral describes it as "bacterial SSU rRNA". It matches the Rfam family "Bacterial small subunit ribosomal RNA", at positions 524 to 898 of the family's 1533-position model. The record is from RNAcentral.
UACGGAGGGUGCAAGCGUUAUCCGGAUUUAUUGGGCGUAAAGAGCUCGUAGGCGGCUAGUCACGUCGGAUGUGAAAACCCGGAGCUUAACUCCGGGCCUGCAUUCGAUACGGGCUGGCUAGAGUGUGGUAGGGGAGACUGGAACUCCUGGUGUAGCGGUGAAAUGCGCAGAUAUCAGGAAGAACACGGAUGGCGAAGGCAGGUCUCUGGGCCACUACUGACGCUGAGGAGCGAAAGCGUGGGGAGCAAACAGGAUUAGAUACCCUGGUAGUCCACGCCGUAAACGGUGGGCGCUAGGUGUGGGGAACAUUCCACGUUCUCCGUGCCGCAGCUAACGCAUUAAGCGCCCCGCCUGGGGAGUACGGCCGCAAGGCUAAA